AGCACCAUGCAUGCUCUUUUUUUACAUUUACAUUCAUACACAAAAAUCAAGCUGCUUUUUAUCUCCAAUCUCUUCUUUUUCUUUCUCUUCUCACCUUAUUAGUACAAACCCACUUGUUUGUGUCAAAUUUAGGCUAAUUUUGGGGCAAUUUGAAGAAAUAAGGAAAAAAGGCAAUUGAACAUUGAAGAAGAGGAAAAAUGCAGUAUCCAUUUUUUUAAAAAAAUCCUUCAAACCCCACCUUCCUAUCCAUUCCGAACCACUUCAUUUAUUAGAGAGAACUGGCUGAUCCUCACACCUAAGUAAAUCCAUCACUCACAAAUAUCCCACUUCCACCACACACCAUUUCAAGAUUCCAUUUUUAUUUUAAUUUUCCCACAAAAACUUCAAUUCUGACUAAAAAGGUGUGGAGAUGCGUGCAAUUGUUGGUGGGGUGUUUUUAACUAUGGCCUUGCUGCUGAAUUUCGGAUUUUGCCACUUGCAGGAGAUGAUGGUGCCGGCGGCGGUGGAGGCGGAGACGAUCAUCGGCCGGAGGAGGCUGGGGAGCUUUCAGAUAUGCGCUCUCUGCACUUGCUGCGGCGGCGGAAGCAGAAACUACUGUGUGUCGACGCCGUGUUGCUAUGCAAUCAAUUGCAAUAUCCCAAACAGACCCUUUGGCUUUUGCUCUUUCACUCCCAAGACUUGCAAUUGCUUCGGAUGCCAUCUCUAAUCUUCUUGUAAUUAUUCGUGGUAAGUAUCAUAAAUGUGUCAUUGUUAUUACAAUUACUAUUAUAUUUGAAGUUUAUGAAUAGGGGUAA
Molecule: non-coding RNA, 794 nt
Organism: Salvia hispanica
Lineage: Eukaryota; Viridiplantae; Streptophyta; Magnoliopsida; Lamiales; Lamiaceae
Source: RefSeq, a predicted model, not a curated record